Molecule: ribosomal RNA, 410 nt
Filed under: uncultured bacterium
Lineage: Bacteria
Description: bacterial SSU rRNA
Rfam family: Bacterial small subunit ribosomal RNA
Source: RNAcentral
AGAGUUUGAUCCUGGCUCAGAUUGAACGCUGGCGGCAUGCCUAACACAUGCAAGUCGAACGGCAGCACGGUCUAGUUUACUAGAUGGGUGGCGAGUGGCGGACGGGUGAGUAAUGCGCAGGAAUAUGCCUUAAAGAGGGGGAUAACUUGGGGAAACUCAAGCUAAUACCGCAUAAUCUCUGAGGAGAGAAGCUGGGGACCUUCGGGCCUGGCGCUUUAAGAUUAGCCUGCGUCCGAUUAGCUAGUUGGUAGGGUAAAGGCCUACCAAGGCGACGAUCGGUAGCUGGUCUGAGAGGAUGACCAGCCACACUGGAACUGAGACACGGUCCAGACUCCUACGGGAGGCAGCAGUGGGGAAUAUUGGACAAUGGGGGCAACCCUGAUCCAGCAAUGCCGCGUGUGUGAAGAAGG